RNAcentral lists this unclassified non-coding RNA (90 nucleotides) under Pseudomonas jessenii. The record is from RNAcentral. Lineage: Bacteria; Pseudomonadati; Pseudomonadota; Gammaproteobacteria; Pseudomonadales; Pseudomonadaceae.
UGUGGGAGCGAGCUUGCUCGCGAUGGCGGCAGCACAUUCAACAUUUUUGUCGACUGAACUGACGCAAUCGCGAGCAAGCUCGCUCCCACA